RNAcentral lists this ribosomal RNA (497 nucleotides) under uncultured bacterium. RNAcentral's name for it is "partial 16S ribosomal RNA". It matches the Rfam family "Bacterial small subunit ribosomal RNA", at positions 28 to 507 of the family's 1533-position model. The record is from RNAcentral.
GACGAACGCUGGCGGCGUGCCUAAUACAUGCAAGUCGAGCGAACGGACGAGAAGCUUGCUCCUCUGAUGUUAGCGGCGGACGGGUGAGUAACACGUGGAUAACCUACCUAUAAGACUGGGAUAACUUCGGGAAACCGGAGCUAAUACCGGAUAAUAUUUUGAACCGCAAGGUUCAAGAGUGAAAGACGGUCUUGCGUGAACUAAUAGAUGGACCCGCGCUGCAUCAGCUAGUUGGUAAGGUAACGGCUUACCAAGGCAACGAAGCAUAGCCGACCUGAGCGGGUGAUCGGCCAGCCUGGAACUGAGGCCCGGCCCAGACUCCUAGGGGAGGCAGCGGUAGGGAAUCUUCCGCAAUGGGCGAAAGCCUGACGUAGCAACGCGGCGUGAGUGAUGAAGGUCUUCGGAUCGUAAAACUCUGUUAUUAGGAAAGAACAUAUGUUUUUUUACCUGUGCACAUCUUGACGGUACCUAAUCAGAAAGCCACGGCUAACUACGUG